RNAcentral lists this ribosomal RNA (400 nucleotides) under uncultured bacterium. Its description in RNAcentral is "bacterial SSU rRNA". It matches the Rfam family "Bacterial small subunit ribosomal RNA", at positions 355 to 747 of the family's 1533-position model. The record is from RNAcentral.
UGGGGAAUCUUCCGCAAUGGGCGAAAGCCUGACGGAGCGAUGCCGCGUGGGUGAAGAAGGGAUUCGUCCCGUAAAGCCCUGUUGCCCGCGACGAAGAGCGCAUCGAGGAAAGAGCGAUGCGAGUGACGGUAGCGAGCGAGGAAGCCACGGCUAACUACGUGCCAGCAGCCGCGGUAAUACGUAGGUGGCGAGCGUUGUCCGGAAUCAUUGGGCGUAAAGCGCAUGUAGGCGGCAUGUUAAGUCCGGAGUUAAAAUGCGGGGCUCAACCCCGUAGGGCUCCGGAUACUGGCAGGCUUGAGCGCGGGAGAGGAAAGGGGAAUUCCCAGUGUAGCGGUGAAAUGCGUAGAUAUUGGGAAGAACACCGGUGGCGAAGGCGCCUUUCUGGACCGAAGCUGACGCU